GGAGGGAUGGCCGAGCGGUCAAAGGCAACAGACUGUAAAUCUGUCGACGUAAUGUCUACGCAGGUUCAAAUCCUGCUCCCUCCACCA
Molecule: transfer RNA, 87 nt
Filed under: Alphaproteobacteria bacterium
Lineage: Bacteria; Pseudomonadati; Pseudomonadota; Alphaproteobacteria
Description: tRNA-Tyr
Rfam family: tRNA
About the family: Transfer RNA (tRNA) molecules are approximately 80 nucleotides in length. Their secondary structure includes four short double-helical elements and three loops (D, anti-codon, and T loops).
Source: RNAcentral